AGAGGCGGCGUCGCAUGCCGCUCGCCGGUCACCAUGGCUGCCCGCCUAGGUACCGGAAACAGGGCCCAGCCGCGUAGCAGCCAAUCCGCCUAGCAGGCUCUAUUGGAGGCCUGCCGCCGAUCAAUCCGCGCAGGCUUCCUUGGGACAACGCCAAUCGGAAGCGACUUCAGUCGCCGCCCCACCACCUUCCCACAUUCUUAGCGGGGCCUACUUCCCCGGGGAGAAGGGGCUGGAGGUGCGGCGGUCUGCGCUUUCAAAGGAGCAAAGCUGUCUUUUCUACUGGAAACGGGGGAGGCGAAGACGCUCCUACGAUAAAGCCGUUGGUGUGAGAUAAAUAUCGAGAGGUCUUUCCCUCAUACCACAGAGUAGAAUCUUGGGUCAUCUCUGAAUUUGGCAUUCUCAAAGAAACAUGCUAGUCAAAUCCAAUUCUCAGAAAGUUGAUACGGGGUCUCUAUAUGACUUGGCAUGAAAUAUUAGGAAACUGGCAUCUUAUAAGCCUCAAAGACAAGUUAGCAGCAUCAAAGACAUGCAACUGACUUUGCCAUUCCUACUGGAGAUCCUAACACAAACAGCACCAGACAUGAGGAGAGGAGAAGUUCAUGCAGUGCUCACAGAGAAUCAGAGAGGGUACCACUACCUGGAGGGUCUGGACUUGCUGGCCUGAGGCGGAUGCCACCUGGGCCUCAGUCUGCAACUGCACAGCAGUGACACCACCCUGCUGCUGAGAACAGGAACAGGAAGAGCUUGAAAUAUGUCAGGAAGGAAAUGUGUAGUUCAAGACACAGAUCACCUUACCUCUUGGAGGAGAGAGACGGAAGCCUGAAGGACUUUCAAAAUGUACAGACUCCCUAUAUUGAAGCUGUUUUGUUGAAGGUAGUAGGAUUAAAGAUAUUAGCCCUUUGUCUCCA
Homo sapiens (human) is the source of this 908-nucleotide long non-coding RNA. Lineage: Eukaryota; Metazoa; Chordata; Mammalia; Primates; Hominidae. The record is from Ensembl.